This 426-nucleotide ribosomal RNA is filed under the name uncultured prokaryote. Its description in RNAcentral is "bacterial SSU rRNA". It matches the Rfam family "Bacterial small subunit ribosomal RNA", at positions 355 to 774 of the family's 1533-position model. The record is from RNAcentral.
UUUCGAAUCAUUCACAAUGGGCGAAAGCCUGAUGGUGCGACGCCGCGUGAGGGAUGAAGGUCUUCGGAUUGUAAACCUCUGUCACUGGGGAAGAAACGCUUUAAGUUAACAGCUUAAAGCCUGACUUAACCCGGAGAGGAAGCAGUGGCUAACUCUGUGCCAGCAGCCGCGGUAAUACAGAGACUGCGAGCGUUAUUCGGAUUCACUGGGCGUAAAGGGUGCGCAGGCGGCCAUGUAUGUGAAGUGUGAAAGCCCGGGGCUUAACCCCGGAAUUGCACCUCAAACUACAUAGCUAGAGCAUUGAAGAGGGUAGCAGAAUUCACGGUGUAGCAGUGAAAUGCGUAGAUAUCGUGAGGAAUACCAGAGGCGAAGGCGGCUACCUGGACAAUUGCUGACGCUCAGGCACGAAAGCGUGGGGAGCAAAAG